This 74-nucleotide transfer RNA is filed under the name Longimicrobium terrae. It matches the Rfam family "tRNA". Rfam says of the family: Transfer RNA (tRNA) molecules are approximately 80 nucleotides in length. Their secondary structure includes four short double-helical elements and three loops (D, anti-codon, and T loops). Lineage: Bacteria; Pseudomonadati; Gemmatimonadota; Longimicrobiia; Longimicrobiales; Longimicrobiaceae. The record is from Rfam by way of RNAcentral.
UUCGAUGUAGCUCAGCGUGGUAGAGCGCCCGGCUCUUAACCGGGUGGACCCUGGUUCGACCCCAGGUAUCGAAG